AGCCUUGGUCCCAACUGUGCAUUUAUGUGCACAAUGAAUGGGACUGAUGUUCCUCUUAAUACAAAGUUCUGAUAUAACAAACAAUUUGGCUAGGUCCGAACGAGUUUGUUAUAACGAGACUCGACAUAUUAUGCUUGCAGGUGUCCCUUGUCCAAUGUUUCGGCUUUGACAAAAAUUGAAGACCCAAAUGUCCUGCUCCCUCUUUUAGAGUGGUCACGUAUUUCCUUUGAACAUUGAGAAGUAAUUAUUCUUUAGAAUUGUCUAGUAUUGUAACAGGUGUAAGGGACUGAAUGUACUAAGCUGAAAAUGGAAUAUUAAGGUUCCUUGGGGUGUACUGCUGAGAUUGAGGUUGAAGCAGACACUUAAUUGGAGCAUGAUUGCAUUAUAAAAUGUAAUUUAGGCUAAACGACUUCUUGAUUUAUAGUAAUUUAGUGUAUGUAUUACACAUUGGUUAAGUGGUGUUAUGUAAUGUUAUUGUUUAGAAAUGCCAGUGGAAGCUGAAUUUUUAUGCUCUUUUAGCGUGGAUAAUAAACUUGAGUUUGAAUUUGAAUGAUGUAAAUACUAUGUAUAGCAGUGUAAUACGGUGAUAGCGAGAUUGUUUGGUUUUAAUUACUGUUUAUGUACUUAUCUAAUAUCGGUUUUGAAGGUUUAUUGUCAUACGUAAUUUCAAGUGUUGUUUUGUUACAUGAAUCGGGGUCCACUGCUGAGAUUGAGGUUGAAGUAGACACUUGGAGCAUGGUUGCGUUAUAAAAUGUAAACUACGUUAAAAAAACCUUCUUUAAUUAUGUUCAGAAUUUUUAGUGAUGUAGUGUAUAUUUACAUUGGUUUAGUGGUUUUAUGUAAUGUUUUUUAAAUGCCAGUGGAAGCUGAAUUUCUAUGCUUUUUUGCGUGGAUACUAAACUUGAGUUUGAAUUUGAAUGAAGGAGGUAUUUGUACAUGUAUAGCAGUGUAAUACGGUGAUAGCGAGAUUUUUUUUGUUUUAAAUACUUUUUAUGUACUUAUCCAAUAUUGGUUUUGAAGGUUUAUUUUCAUACGUUAUUUCAAGUGUUGCUGUGUUACGUGAAUUCAUUAUAAUCAGGUGUACGUAAGGGUUUCAAUUUGUAUUUUUUAUAUGCAGUCAUAUAACCUAGUAAAGAAGGUAUAACAGGGUACUAUAUUAUAAUCAAGCUUGGUUUCAGGGAGAACUUAAUAAUUUAUUACACAGGAAAUAGGUUUUCCCAGCCAAUUUUUUGAAAUGUUCAUUCACUUCUGAAAAUCGGUCAUUCAUUUUCGACUGAAUUUGAAUGCACGUCUUCAAUGCCACUUCAAUUCGACGAAAGUUCAAUCGUUUCAUUGUCCUUGCAUUCAGGUUUGAGAAACAGACCGGCCACUUACGUAAUUACCUGUGCAUUCAUUUACGCAAACGUUUCUUUUCUAAAUUGAUUUCAGGUACAGCUAAUUUGAUUGACGGUUAAUGAAAAAGAAACCCCUAAUUUUAUCUGUUGCCGAUGGCAUUAAACUAAAAGUGAAACAGAACGGUGAAUGUUUGAAAUCGCCCUCUGAAAACGAAUUCUCAAAUUCAGAUUCAGACGAAAAUGAAUGACCGACUUUUUUUCAGAAGUGAAUGAACAUUUUAGGAAAUUGGCAGGGAAAACCUAUAUUUUUGAACUUUUUUGCAUGUAUAUUGCCGAUAAAAACUUUUAAUGUGCAUAACACUGCAUAUGCUAACAACAUGAAUGCAUUGUGACUCGUACAACUGUUGCAUUGAACGUGUGUUUCCGACAUCAUUCUCACGUAUGCUGAUCAAGACGUAAUGAGUUUUCUUGUGAAUGUCACAAAUAAAGUCAAUCAUGGCAUUAAAAGGUAA
Molecule: long non-coding RNA, 1846 nt
Organism: Patiria miniata (bat star)
Lineage: Eukaryota; Metazoa; Echinodermata; Asteroidea; Valvatida; Asterinidae
Exons: 2
Source: RefSeq, a predicted model, not a curated record